Long non-coding RNA from Bombyx mori (domestic silkworm), 536 nucleotides. RefSeq lists it as uncharacterized. The record is from RefSeq and is a predicted model, not a curated record. The transcript has 2 exons. NCBI's taxonomy places the organism in Eukaryota, Metazoa, Arthropoda, Insecta, Lepidoptera, Bombycidae.
AAGAAAUCCCUUUGACAUGUAACGUUAUUGUAAAAUUUAUGUGCAUACAUUAAUACAUGAUUUCGGUGUGCGGUGAUGUAAUAAUGUUUGAAAAUCGUCCUUGUUAUGUAGAUUGGUAUUAAAAUUCAUUCUGCGUGUUCACGUGUUUGCAUAUUAAAUACGAGGAAAACCCAAUUGACGCAGAGUGCAAACCAAAAUUCUUUCAACCAGAUAAAAACAGGUAUUGGUGGGUAUUAUUCGAAAAGGCCAAUUGUGAUUCGCGACCUUAAUAAUACCUAAGGUACCUCGGGGACGUCGGAUAAUACGAAAUAAGCGAAAAUAAGCGAAGGCCAGGUAAAAAAAUCAGGUUUUAUAAAAGGAACGUAGCCGAACCACAACGUUAUGAUUAUUGGAUCACGAUUAUUUCCGAUCUUAAACGAUUUUCGAUGUUUUUUUGUUUGAUUUUAUUGAAUCAAGAUUUUAUUUCGUUAUAUGUGUUAAUUAGAUUAUUUCCUAUUGAGAAAGUCUUAAAAUAAACUUAUACUUGUAUUCAUUCA